CCAACGGCCCUCUUUAGGGCCACAAAUAGUGUGUUUAAAUCUUGA
Molecule: non-coding RNA, 45 nt
Filed under: Caenorhabditis japonica
Lineage: Eukaryota; Metazoa; Nematoda; Chromadorea; Rhabditida; Rhabditidae
Description: sRNA CJA48998
Rfam family: Histone 3' UTR stem-loop
About the family: The mRNAs of metazoan histone genes lack a poly-A tail. 3' end processing occurs at a site between a highly conserved stem-loop (modelled by this family) and a purine rich region around 20 nts downstream (the histone downstream element, or HDE).
Source: RNAcentral